RNAcentral lists this ribosomal RNA (381 nucleotides) under uncultured eukaryote. Its description in RNAcentral is "SSU rRNA". It matches the Rfam family "Eukaryotic small subunit ribosomal RNA", at positions 587 to 972 of the family's 1831-position model. The record is from RNAcentral.
AGUUCCAAUAGCGUACAUUAAAAUUGUUGCGGCUAAAAAGCUCGUAAUUGGAUUUCUGCCGAGGACGACCGGUCCGCCCUGUGGGUGAGCAUCUGGAUCGGCCUGGGCAUCUUCUUGGGGAACGUAGCUGCACUUGAUUGUGUGGUGCGGUAUCCAAGAUUUUUAUCUUGAGGAAAUUAGAAUGUUUCAAGCAGGCGCACGCCUUGAAUACAUUAGCAUGGAAUAAUAAGAUAAGACCUCGGUUCUAUUUUGUUGGUUUCUAGAGUUGAGGUAAUGAUUAAUAAGGAUAGUUGGGGGCAUUCGUAUUUAAUUGUCAGAGGUGAAAUUAUUGGAUUUGUUAAAGACGGACUAUUGCGAAAGCAUUUGCCAAGGAUGUUUUCA